AGGCUCUUGGGUUGUAAACCUCUUUUCUCAGGGAAGAGAAAAAUGACGGUACCUGAGGAAUAAGCAUCGGCUAACUCCGUGCCAGCAGCCGCGGUAAUACGGAGGAUGCAAGCGUUAUCCGGAAUGAUUGGGCGUAAAGGGUCCGCAGGUGGCAAUGUAAGUCUGCUGUUAAAGAACCUAGCUUAACUAGGUAAAAGCAGUGGAAACUACACAGCUAGAGUGCGUUCGGGGUAGAGGGAAUUCCUGGUGUAGCGGUGAAAUGCGUAGAUAUCAGGAAGAACACCAGUGGCGAAGGCGCUCUACUAGGCCGCAACUGACACUGAGGGACGAAAGCUAGGGGAGCGAAUGGGAUUAGAUACCCCAGUAGUCCUAGCCGUAAACGAUGGAUACUAGGCGUGGCUUGUAUCGACCCAAGCCGUGCCGUAGCUAACGCGUUAAGUAUCCCGCCUGGGGAGUACGCACGCAAGUGUGAAACUCAAAGGAAUUGACGGGGGCCCGCACAAGCGGUGGAGUAUGUGGUUUAAUUCGAUGCAACGCGAAGAACCUUACCAAGACUUGACAUGUCGCGAAUCUUUCUGAAAGGGAAGAGUGCCUUCGGGAGCGCGAACACAGGUGGUGCAUGGCUGUCGUCAGCUCGUGUCGUGAGAUGUUGGGUUAAGUCCCGCAACGAGCGCAACCCUCGUUUUUAGUUGCCAGCAUUAAGUUGGGCACUCUAGAGAGACUGCCGGUGACAAACCGGAGGAAGGUGGGGAUGACGUCAAGUCAGCAUGCCCCUUACGUCUUGGGCUACACACGUACUACAAUGCUACGGACAAAGGGUAGCUACACAGCAAUGUGAUGCCAAUCUCAGAAACCGUAGCUCAGUUCAGAUCGCAGGCUGCAACUCGCCUGCGUGAAGUCGGAAUCGCUAGUAAUUGCAGGUCAGCAUACUGCAGUGAAUUCGUUCCCGGGCCUUGUACACACCGCCCGUCACACCAUGGAAGCUGGUCACGCCCGAAGUCGUUACCCCAACUGUUCGCAGAGGGGGAUGCCGAAGGCAGGUCUGGUGACUGGGGUGAAGUCGUAACAAGGUAGCCGUACCGGAAGGUGUGGCUG
Molecule: ribosomal RNA, 1095 nt
Filed under: metagenome
Description: bacterial SSU rRNA
Rfam family: Bacterial small subunit ribosomal RNA
Source: RNAcentral